GGAACGGGACGGGGCAGGGGGAGCAGGGGGCUCUCCUUUGCCGGGGUCUGCCGGCGCUCCAGCCCUGACUCCAGGCGCCUGCAGACAAUUUGCUCCCGGCCAUUAGCAGCUGCUGGGUGGCAUCGAAGCUACAAUGGAUCAGAAUGGAGCAAAUGGCACAGCAAGAAUUUCUACAGCAGCACUGCAUGAGGCACAUUUAGCAAGGAAACUCAGAGAAGAGGUUGUGCUGUGCCAGCAUGUGGUAUGAGUGCUAGUAGGUAACAGGACUCCAGAGCAGAAGGGUUUCCUUGCAACACCUACCAUUACCUGGAGCUACUGUGAUGUCGUAUUGUGAGAACACUACUUAAGAAAUACAGCCUUUUUUUAGUGAUAGUAA
Lonchura striata (white-rumped munia) is the source of this 376-nucleotide long non-coding RNA. RefSeq lists it as uncharacterized. Lineage: Eukaryota; Metazoa; Chordata; Aves; Passeriformes; Estrildidae. The record is from RefSeq and is a predicted model, not a curated record.